RNAcentral lists this long non-coding RNA (822 nucleotides) under Monodelphis domestica (gray short-tailed opossum). RNAcentral describes it as "lncRNA (ENSMODG00000050355.1)". Lineage: Eukaryota; Metazoa; Chordata; Mammalia; Didelphimorphia; Didelphidae. The record is from RNAcentral.
CUUCUACGGACAGAUUCUUUUAUUGUUGUUGUUUACUCAUUUUCCCCAGAAUAUUUCUUUUCUUUGGACUUUAUUUUAUAGUUAGGCUCUGCUCCAAGGAUGGCCAUGAAGGAGCACUGAGUCAAGCUUUAGGCUUUUUCACCUAGAUCUUCUCAGAGCUAAUUCUGGGGUUAGGAAAAUUCCCACUGCUUUCAAGAUGGUAUGAUUUAGGGAGAAGUGUGAUCACCACUAACCAAGGAAGCACCUUUGAUCCCUUUCAGCUGCAACUACUACUGUUUCUCUGGACUACUGACCUAUUGGGACUAAAAGAGAUUUUCUCCAUCUAGAACUGUGCUCUGAUAACAGCUCUGUUGGAAAAUCACGCUAUCAACAAAAACCGGACACACACAAGGACACAGGAACAAGCAGUUGGAUCAAAAAGACAGUCACAAGAGAGGGAAACGAGUCCAACUCACAAGGUCCAUCCAAGGAGCUUAGACCAACCAUCUCCAGCUUCAACUGUCCCCAAGGAAAAGCAACUCUGUCACUCUCCUAGAAUUGUGGAACCUUCCUGCUUCUUCCUUUGCAGCAGCCCCUCCUGCUCAUUUCCUUAUAACUGGAGAGAGAAUUUCAUCAGUUGUUCAGAAAAUUUUGUCACUGUCUUUUUUUCUGAAGUUUUCAGCUAUUUCAUCUUUCUGUCCAAGUGCUGUAAUAAACACUAGUCAUCAUAAUCCUAUUUUGACUUCUGUAGAUCUUAAAUUUUAUUACUCUUCACCCUAUUUCUUCCCUCUGGUUAUAGCAGUUCCUCAUAUAACCAGAUCCUCUACUGUUCAAUAUUAUUCC